This 1060-nucleotide long non-coding RNA is filed under the name Drosophila guanche. The record is from RNAcentral. Lineage: Eukaryota; Metazoa; Arthropoda; Insecta; Diptera; Drosophilidae.
AGCAAACCCAGAGCACCCGGAAGAGCCCACUCUACGUCCAAGCUUUAGUCGAAGUUCCACUCUACCCGUCAGCGUCGCCUCGUUUUUGCGUUGCUUCAAGUUCUUAAGACUUUAACGCGACUUUAAAUACAUUUUUGUUCUGUCCCAUACAUCAUCGUUUUUGCCUGCUGCUUGUAAAUUCACAAUGUGGCGCACAUUUCGAUUGAUUCUGCUGCUGUGGCCGUGGCUCGUCAUCCUGCUGCCGUCAUUGUGCCACACACGUAAGCGACAGUCUGAGCCCAGAGCAUUUGGCAUUGAUAAUGCUUAGAUCGGAAUAAGAGCACUCCUUCUCUGUGUCCAUUGUAGAGCCCAGCUGCCAGACGCCAGAGAAGACUGCCGGCCAGUGUGUGCAUUUCAGCGCCUGUCGCUUUGUCCUGCGCGAAUAUGCAAUGUACAAGGAGCAUAUGCCGCCCGUGGUAAUGCGCUUCCUGCAGAGAUCCCGCUGCAGGCCCAAGCGUGACGGCGUAAGUUGGAAAAGCCAUUAGGCGCGGGGUUGAUGGCUCUCGAAUAAAACUGUCUGGGGAAGCAGCAAUAGCAAUGGAAUGGCUCUAAUUCUAAUGAAAUGUUCUCCUGCCUCUCUGUUUUUGUUUCUCACAUGGCAUUGUGUGUGGCAUGCGGCAUGCGGCAACAACAACAACAUCAACACGGACAACAAAGUAUCAUUUGUGCUGCGAACUCAAAGAUGUGAUUCCCGCGAAUGCCAACUCAAAGCUGAAGUAAAUCAACUUCAAAGUACAUCAUGUGUGUGGCACACACACACACACGUACGGUACAUGUGGGUGUAUUUGUGUGUGCUUUGAUCUGCCUGGAUUGUGUGGCCCCCCGAAAAUGUUAUGGUUAUGCGGCUGCGUCUGUAAUUAUAAUGUGUACCCGAAUUAUGUAUUAAGUGCACGCACCGUCUACGUCUACGUCUACGUCUCGUAAGGCCGGCAGCAGAUGCUGAGACACAAUAAAAAAUGAAAAGUUUAGCUCUAAUCUUGGUAACUGCAGCCAGCGAGGGCAGUUCUGCGACUUUAUCAGC